ACAGCUUCAGUGUAGUUCAUUUUAAAGGCAGGAUGCCAGAGAAGCUGUGGGUGGAUUUCAGCCCGGGUUUUGGUGCAACUCCCCUCCGUUUUGCUAUCGAGUCCAAUACAGCGGCUGAGCGGAUGGGCUGAAGUGAAGCUGGUCGUCUCUGCUCGGCGUGAGUGAUGAGCAGUAGAAUAGACAGGCUGUCACAGCACACCUGUAGGCCUGGCAGCCGAGUCCAUCAUUGGGCUGAGCCUUCACAGAGAUUAAAAACACUGCAUCCAUUAGGCCUUGUGUCAGCCGUCAUUAUUCUAUAAAGAAGCGAUUUUGUCACAUCUACAUUCUUCAGGCCGCUAUCCGCACGCAGAUGAAUAAGCGGGAUGUUCCAUCUCCAAACACGGCUCACUUUUGACAGGAACACAACCAUUUGUGACGCCAUCUCCCCAAUACUUCACACAUCCAUUGGGAAGGAAGCAUCAAAUAAGUCUUAAUGCAAUGAUCCCGCAGUCCAUCACCUGAUGGGACUUUAAGUUUUCCAGUCAUAUUUAUUCUCGGAAAUGUACGUUUCGUCCUAGAGCUGUCAUUCAAACGGGCUCACAAUUUAUUCUGCCAUGUGCAUUUAUCUGACAG
Molecule: long non-coding RNA, 612 nt
Organism: Cyprinus carpio carpio
Lineage: Eukaryota; Metazoa; Chordata; Actinopteri; Cypriniformes; Cyprinidae
Source: Ensembl